RNAcentral lists this non-coding RNA (148 nucleotides) under Pan paniscus (pygmy chimpanzee). RNAcentral also lists the same sequence under 1 other name. The record is from Rfam by way of RNAcentral. Lineage: Eukaryota; Metazoa; Chordata; Mammalia; Primates; Hominidae.
GCUGGGUGUGGUGGCGCAUGCCUGUAAUCCCAGCUACUCGGGAGGCUGAGGCAGAAGAAUCACUUGAACCCGGGAGGUGGAGGUCGCAGUGAGCUGAGAUUGUGCCACUGCACUCCAGCCUGGGCGACAGAGUGAGACUCUGUCUUAA